AGUGAACGCUGGCGGUAGGCCUAACACAUGCAAGUCGAACGGCAACACAGUAAGAGCUGGCUCUUACGGGUGGCGGGUGGCGGACGGGUGAGGAAUACAUCGGAAUCUACGGUUUCGUGGGGGGUAACGUAUGGAAACUUACGCUAAUACCGCAGACUACCUGCGGGGGAAAGCAGGGGAUCUUCGGACCUUACGCGACGGAGGGAGCCGAGGUCGGAUUAGUUAGUUGGCGGGGUAAAGGCCCACCAAGGCGACGAUCCGUAGCUGGUCUGAGAGGAUGACCAGCCACACUGGAACUGAGACACGGCCCAGACUCCUACGGGAGGCAGCAGUGGGGAAUAUUGGACAAUGGGCGCAAGCCUGAUCCAGCCAUACCGCGUGGGUGAAGAAGGCCUUCGGGUUGUAAAGCCCUUUUGUUCGGAACGAAAAGCAGCAGGUUAAUACCCCGCUGUUCUGACGGUACCCAAAGAAUAAGCACCGGCUAACUUCGUG
RNAcentral lists this ribosomal RNA (492 nucleotides) under uncultured bacterium. Its description in RNAcentral is "partial 16S ribosomal RNA". It matches the Rfam family "Bacterial small subunit ribosomal RNA", at positions 29 to 507 of the family's 1533-position model. The record is from RNAcentral.